UCAUGGCUCAGGACGAACGCUGGCGGCGUGCCUAAUACAUGCAAGUCGAGCGGACAGAUGGGAGCUUGCUCCCUGAUGUUAGCGGCGGACGGGUGAGUAACACGUGGGUAACCUGCCUGUAAGACUGGGAUAACUCCGGGAAACCGGGGCUAAUACCGGAUGGUUGUUUGAACCGCAUGGUUCAGACAUAAAAGGUGGCUUCGGCUACCACUUACAGAUGGACCCGCGGCGCAUUAGCUAGUUGGUGAGGUAACGGCUCACCAAGGCAACGAUGCGUAGCCGACCUGAGAGGGUGAUCGGCCACACUGGGACUGAGACACGGCCCAGACUCCUACGGGAGGCAGCAGUAGGGAAUCUUCCGCAAUGGACGAAAGUCUGACGGAGCAACGCCGCGUGAGUGAUGAAGGUUUUCGGAUCGUAAAGCUCUGUUGUUAGGGAAGAACAAGUGCCGUUCAAAUAGGGCGGCACCUUGACGGUACCUAACCAGAAAGCCACGGCUAACUACGUGCCAGCAGCCGCGGUAAUACGUAGGUGGCAAGCGUUGUCCGGAAUUAUUGGGCGUAAAGGGCUCGCAGGCGGUUUCUUAAGUCUGAUGUGAAAGCCCCCGGCUCAACCGGGGAGGGUCAUUGGAAACUGGGGAACUUGAGUGCAGAAGAGGAGAGUGGAAUUCCACGUGUAGCGGUGAAAUGCGUAGAGAUGUGGAGGAACACCAGUGGCGAAGGCGACUCUCUGGUCUGUAACUGACGCUGAGGAGCGAAAGCGUGGGGAGCGAACAGGAUUAGAUACCCUGGUAGUCCACGCCGUAAACGAUGAGUGCUAAGUGUUAGGGGGUUUCCGCCCCUUAGUGCUGCAGCUAACGCAUUAAGCACUCCGCCUGGGGAGUACGGUCGCAAGACUGAAACUCAAAGGAAUUGACGGGGGCCCGCACAAGCGGUGGAGCAUGUGGUUUAAUUCGAAGCAACGCGAAGAACCUUACCAGGUCUUGACAUCCUCUGACAAUCCUAGAGAUAGGACGUCCCCUUCGGGGGCAGAGUGACAGGUGGUGCAUGGUUGUCGUCAGCUCGUGUCGUGAGAUGUUGGGUUAAGUCCCGCAACGAGCGCAACCCUUGAUCUUAGUUGCCAGCAUUCAGUUGGGCACUCUAAGGUGACUGCCGGUGACAAACCGGAGGAAGGUGGGGAUGACGUCAAAUCAUCAUGCCCCUUAUGACCUGGGCUACACACGUGCUACAAUGGACAGAACAAANGGCAGCCAAACCGCGAGGUUAAAGCAAUCCCACAAAUCUGUUCUCAGUUCGGAUCGCAGUCUGCCACUCGACUGCGUGAAGCUGGAAUCGCUAGUAAUCGCGGAUCAACAUGCCGCGGUGAAUACGUUCCCGGGCCCUGUACACCC
Molecule: ribosomal RNA, 1390 nt
Filed under: Bacillus sp. SJ-10
Lineage: Bacteria; Bacillati; Bacillota; Bacilli; Caryophanales; Bacillaceae
Description: bacterial SSU rRNA
Rfam family: Bacterial small subunit ribosomal RNA
Source: RNAcentral